Molecule: non-coding RNA, 836 nt
Organism: Danio rerio (zebrafish)
Lineage: Eukaryota; Metazoa; Chordata; Actinopteri; Cypriniformes; Danionidae
Source: RefSeq, a predicted model, not a curated record
AUGGUAAGAAUUUCUGUCAAUAACAAUGCAGGAAGAAACUAAGCUCUAGCACUGGCAGAACAACCUACAUGAGAAGACCAUGGACAAAAGCAGACGUGAAGGCUGUAAUGAGUUCAAAAGACUGAUUAUUAUUAUAAACAUUUUCAUUUUUUUUUCCUUGUCACAGAGUGACAAUAUUUAACCAUUUUCAAACAUGUAAAUUAAAAAAAAAAAAAAACAUGGCCCAGGCCCACUUCUGUUCCAUGCCAGAGCUUCACAGUCCAUCAUCACUCUAGGGCAGUCUCUACAUUGCUCUACAGUUUGCCUCACCUUCUCAACCCAUGUCUGCCACUACUCCACAGUCUGGUACUGCUCCACAGUCCAGGUCCAUGUCUGCUUCAUGAGCCUGGGCAAUACCCAUCACACAAAAAUACAUAACCCACAAAUGCAGUCUCUCAGACUGAACAUUUACAACAGUGUUGAGUAGCAAAAAGACAUGUUUUUUGUUUUUUAUUUACAUGUUUGAAAAUGGUCAAAUAUUGUCACUGUGACAAAAAAGUGAAAAUGUGUAUGAUAUUAAUUAGUCACAUUAUAACACAUUAUAUUACUGUCACAUUACGAAAUUUAGUUUUUAAUCUGUUUUGUGUUCAUAUAAUUCUGUAUGUAUCAUUCAAUUUGUGGAAUCAAACUUUUAUGUCUAGUUUUAUCUUUUUUUCUUUUUAUCUAUCUUUUUAUCUAUUUUUAUCCAUCUAUUUUUUGUUCUUGUCAGAGCGAUAAUAGUUGAUGCAUUUCAUAAUAAAAUGUAUAUACAUGUUUAGUUCCCCUGCUGUUUUCCUGGACUUCAAAAAUAAAAUAAA